Molecule: small nuclear RNA, 107 nt
Filed under: Octodon degus (degu)
Lineage: Eukaryota; Metazoa; Chordata; Mammalia; Rodentia; Octodontidae
Source: RNAcentral
GUGCUCGCUUUGGCAGCGCAUAUACUAAAAUUGGAAUGAUACAGAGAAGAUUAGCAUGGCCCCUGCUCAAGGAUGACACUCAAAUUCGUGAAGCAUUCCAUAUUUUU